GACGUAGGGGGCCAGCGUUGUUCGGAAUUACUGGGUGUAAAGGGUUCGUAGGCGGUGCGGCAAGUCGGGAGUGAAAUCUCUGGGCUCAACCCAGAGGCUGCUUCCGAAACUGCUGUGCUUGAGUGUGGGAGAGGCGCGUGGAAUUGCAGGUGUAGCGGUGAAAUGCGUAGAUAUCUGCAGGAACACCCGUGGCGAAAGCGGCGCGCUGGACCACUACUGACGCUGUAGAGCGAAAGCGUGGGGAGCGAACAGG
RNAcentral lists this ribosomal RNA (253 nucleotides) under uncultured bacterium. RNAcentral's name for it is "partial 16S ribosomal RNA". It matches the Rfam family "Bacterial small subunit ribosomal RNA", at positions 524 to 776 of the family's 1533-position model. The record is from RNAcentral.